CUGGAAUACAAAUAUGUUCGUUUAAGAUCCUGACGAUUGGUGAUUCGUUCGAUAACAGGAUGCGGACCUGAGUAAGGUGGCGAUAAUGAUGUACGAACUCGAUCAUCUCGUAGAAAUACGUGUGUGGCAGAACUUAAGUUUCGGUGUACGAAUUCGACAGUUGAUUCACGAAUUGAGCU
Hermetia illucens (black soldier fly) is the source of this 179-nucleotide long non-coding RNA. RefSeq lists it as uncharacterized. The record is from RefSeq and is a predicted model, not a curated record. The transcript is spliced from 3 exons. NCBI's taxonomy places the organism in Eukaryota, Metazoa, Arthropoda, Insecta, Diptera, Stratiomyidae.